GACGAACGCUGGCGGCGUGCAUAACACAUGCAAGUCGAACGGAAAGGCCUUUUCGGCGGUACUCGAGUGGCGAACGGGUGAGUAACACGUGGGUGAUCUGCCCUGCACUCUGGGAUAAGCCUGGGAAACUGGGUCUAAUACCGGAUAGGACCGCACUUUAGUGUGUGUGGUGGAAAGUUUUUUCGGUGUAGGAUGAGCCCGCGGCCUAUCAGCUUGUUGGUGGGGUAAUGGCCUACCAAGGCGGCGACGGGUAGCCGGACUGAGAGGUUGGUCGGCCACAUUGGGACUGAGAUACGGCCCAGACUCCUACGGGAGGCAGCAGUGGGGAAUAUUGCACAAUGGGCGCAAGCCUGAUGCAGCGACGCCGCGUGGGGGAUGACGGCCUUCGGGUUGUAAACUCCUUUCGCCAGGGACGAAGCGUUUUGUGACGGUACCUGGAGAAGAAGCACCGGCUAACUACGUG
Molecule: ribosomal RNA, 463 nt
Filed under: uncultured bacterium
Lineage: Bacteria
Description: partial 16S ribosomal RNA
Rfam family: Bacterial small subunit ribosomal RNA
Source: RNAcentral